This 233-nucleotide ribosomal RNA is filed under the name uncultured bacterium. RNAcentral's name for it is "partial 16S ribosomal RNA". It matches the Rfam family "Bacterial small subunit ribosomal RNA", at positions 1268 to 1500 of the family's 1533-position model. The record is from RNAcentral.
CGAAUCACAAAACUCGGUCUCAGUUCAGAUUGCAGGCUGCAGCUCGCCUGCAUGAAGUUGGAAUUGCUAGUAAUCGCGAAUCAGAAUGUCGCGGUGAAUACGUUCCCGGGCCUUGUACACACCGCCCGUCACACCAUGAGAGUCGAUAACACCCGAAGCCUGUGAGCUAACCUUUUAGGAGGCAGCAGUCGAAGGUGGGGUUGAUGAUUGGGGUGAAGUCGUAACAAGGUACC